UACGUAGGGUGCAAGCGUUAAUCGGAAUUACUGGGCGUAAAGCGUGCGCAGGCGGUUUUGUAAGUCUGGCGUGAAAUCCCCGGGCUUAACCUGGGAAUGGCGAUGGAGACUGCAAGGCUGGAAUCUGGCAGAGGGGGGUAGAAUUCCACGUGUAGCAGUGAAAUGCGUAGAGAUGUGGAGGAACACCGAUGGCGAAGGCAGCCCCCUGGGUCAAGAUUGACGCUCAUGCACGAAAGCGUGGGGAGCAAACAGG
RNAcentral lists this ribosomal RNA (253 nucleotides) under uncultured bacterium. RNAcentral describes it as "partial 16S ribosomal RNA". It matches the Rfam family "Bacterial small subunit ribosomal RNA", at positions 524 to 776 of the family's 1533-position model. The record is from RNAcentral.